GGCUCUUUAGCUCAGUGGAAGAGCAGACGACUCAUAAUCGUUUGGUCGUUGGUUCAAAUCCAACAAGAGCCA
Molecule: transfer RNA, 72 nt
Filed under: endosymbiont of Sipalinus gigas
Lineage: Bacteria; Pseudomonadati; Pseudomonadota; Gammaproteobacteria
Rfam family: tRNA
About the family: Transfer RNA (tRNA) molecules are approximately 80 nucleotides in length. Their secondary structure includes four short double-helical elements and three loops (D, anti-codon, and T loops).
Source: Rfam by way of RNAcentral